UACAUUAUGGUGUAAGGCACGAAAGAUUUUGAUUCUUUAAGUAUAUUUAGUUUAUAUAAUGUAA
RNAcentral lists this transfer RNA (64 nucleotides) under Coleoptera sp. 22 KM-2017. Its description in RNAcentral is "tRNA-Gln". The record is from RNAcentral. Lineage: Eukaryota; Metazoa; Arthropoda; Insecta; Coleoptera.